RNAcentral lists this ribosomal RNA (1173 nucleotides) under Pristimantis sp. QCAZ 26586. RNAcentral describes it as "partial large subunit ribosomal RNA". It matches the Rfam family "Bacterial large subunit ribosomal RNA", at positions 950 to 2821 of the family's 2925-position model. Lineage: Eukaryota; Metazoa; Chordata; Amphibia; Anura; Strabomantidae. The record is from RNAcentral.
UUAAUUAUUAAACAUGUCCCUCUUACUUUAGAGCAACUCAAAUAAGGUACAGCCUAUUUGACACAGGAUACAACCUUUAAUACCGGGUAACAAAUUUUUCCUCUACUUAGUAGGCUUAAAAGCAGCCACCUUUAAAAAGCGUCAAAGCUUACGUCACAAUAAUUUAUAAACUCCCAUGAACCCCUUUACCCCCAUUGAGAAAUUCUAUAUCCUUAUAGAACCUUUAAUGCUAAAACUAGUAACAAGAGGCCACCCCUCUCUACGAUGUGAACUUAAGCCAGCAAGAACAUAUCACUGGCAUGUAACAGAUUUAAACAAUAGUAACAACUCUCACUAGAAAAUAUUACUCUAUUUACUGUUAACCUAACACCAGAACAUCCCAAGAAAGAUUAAAAGAGGAGGAAGGAAUUCGGCAAAUAUUAACCCCGCCUGUUUACCAAAAACAUCACCUCCUGUCCCCAUAGGAGGCCCAGCCUGCCCAGUGACCCUGUUCAACGGCCGCGGUAUCCUAACCGUGCAAAGGUAGCGUAAUCACUUGUCUUCUAAAUAAAGACUAGUAUGAAAGGCAUCACGAGGGUUAAACUGUCUCCCCCCUCUAAUCAGUGAACCUAAUCUCCCCGUGAAGAAGCGGGGAUAAUAAUGUAAGACGAGAAGACCCUAUGGAGCUUUAAACAUUGUAACACGUGCUGAAACAUUCAACUACCAAGGUACCUCACCACUAUAGCACCCUGAUUACACGUUUUUGGUUGGGGUGACCGCGGAGAAUAGCCCAUCCUCCAUGAUGAAGCGGAUAAUUUCCUAAACAAUAAAACACAACUUUAUGAAUCAAUAAAUUGACUUCCAUUGACCCAACAUUUUGAUCAACGAACCAAGUUACCCUAGGGAUAACAGCGCAAUCCACUUUCAGAGCCCCUAUCGACAAGUGGGCUUACGACCUCGAUGUUGGAUCAGGGUAUCCCAGUGGUGCAGCCGCUACUAAAGGUUCGUUUGUUCAACGAUUAAAACCCCACGUGAUCUGAGUUCAGACCGGAGUAAUCCAGGUCAGUUUCUAUCUACAAUAGAGCUCUUUUUAGUACGAAAGGACCAAAAUAGCAUGGCCAAUGUAUAAGUUAAGCCAUAGUUAACUAUUUUUGACUCACACUCAAAAAAUUACUAACCUCCUCAAUCCCCCCU